GUUUGUUAUUGACAAAAUUUUAUGGAAAAAUUAUAAGGGGCACUAAAAUGUCUGAAACAUGGAAAGAUUGAUGCACUAUAUUUGAACCAGAACGUGUUAUGUAAUAUAUUAAUUUAAGAGAAACUGAUUCAGCAAGGAACGUGAACUUUCAAGGGAUCUUAAUUUUUUUUAAAUAUGUUUAUAAUUUAUAAAUUAAUAAUUGAAAUAGUUCAUAAGAACUAAAUUGAUGCCAAUUUUGUUUUAAAAUAGGUUGUUUAGUUCUUAUAGUUAUAGUAUUACGUUUGAAUAGUUGUAAUUAGUAAGUUAGUAAUAUAUGAAAAUACUGAUAUAAAUUUUUGUAAAUAACCUUUUGUAAAUUCUACGAGAAGAUGAUUUUAAUUAUUGAUGAAAAGUCAACGGUCUUCAAAAGCAUUAUUUGCAAUUGUUUAGAUUAACCGUGGAAUAUAUUUGCUAAGUUGUGUUUUCUGUAUGAGCAGAUAUAAAUGAAAAUGCCCAAACAUGAUUAUGUUUCUUACAUUUUCAUUAUGUGAAAUCAAUAUGCUUGUGACUGAGUAUAUUAAUAAUUUAUUAAAACUUCAGUGAUAGACAGCAACCCUUAUGGCACUGCUGAAGUUUAUAAGCACUGGUGACCACUUAUCAUGAGCCGGGUUGCAUGCUCGUCUGCUGUUGAGUGCAAUAAAAAUUUUCGAAACCCUUUCUAUUAUUUAGAUGUAAUAUUAAUGUACAUUUAAUUUGGAUUAAAAGAUAAAUUUACAUUUUAUGUUUGCAUGUGUAUGUUUAUAAUUCAUUUGCAUGUAACGAACAUCAGUUUCUUUUGUAACAAAAUGCAAACUAAUGGUUUGUAAUGAAUGUAAUUAACUUUAAGAUGAUUUUCUUUCAAUCUGCUGUUUGUUUCAUCUAGUAUUACCAAAGCUAAAGCAUCAGAAACGUCAGAAUAGAAAUAAUUUAGAUAGGGAAUAAAAGUAUAACUAAUGUAAUCAUGUCUAAAAUUACUAUAAGCGUCGUUAAGUACAAACUAUCAAUAUUUAAGAGUACUUUAAAUCAUCAUUACAUUUUUUAAACAUUUUUUGUUUUUUUUUUGUUUGUCAAAUCAUGUAACAAAACGUUUGUGCAGAACAAAAUGUCACAUGUUAUGAACAUGAUUGUGGGUUAAUCGUUUCUUAAAUUUCUAAAUAUUUAUAAGAAUGCUAAGAUUAAUUUAGUAUUCACUUUAGUGUGUGUAUUAUCUCUACAAUGCUAGUUUAAAUGACAAUUAUUGUAUGACGAAGCAUAGGUAGUGUUUAUAGAUGUAAUAUUUUCAUACAAUCUGUCACGAUCAACUUUAAGCAAGAACUGCUAUCGUUAAGAAACAAAUUUAUUAAAUUUAAUUCAAAUUGUCUACUAUGUUUGUAAUGGAAAGCUGACAUGUUUAUAUUUCGCACAAAUGACUUAAUUGACAUUGAAUGAUUUGAUUAUCUAGACUUAAUUAACUUUUAGAUAACUUUCGAUUUAAUGUGUACGCUAGUAGGAUUAAUCUAGAGGAGUUAUUGUUAUUCGAAAUUUUAUACAAUUGUACGUUCAUACAAUCUUUUAACAGAAAAUUGUUUGUAAUAUAGGGAAAUUAAAUAGCUUACAGAGAA
Long non-coding RNA from Bombyx mori (domestic silkworm), 1619 nucleotides. RefSeq lists it as uncharacterized. The record is from RefSeq and is a predicted model, not a curated record. NCBI's taxonomy places the organism in Eukaryota, Metazoa, Arthropoda, Insecta, Lepidoptera, Bombycidae. The transcript has 2 exons.